CAUUAGUUUAAGUGUGAGGCGGCUGGAGUGGAUGGUCUCUUCCUCUUGCUUCUCUAAAGCCGAUGAUUUCUAAGAUGCGCGCGCGAUCUCUCUUUUUUGGAGAAAUUAUUCUGUGCGGUCUCCGGACUUAUCUCUACGAGGGCGAUGACGAUGAAAUCAAACACGAAAAGUGAUCUUACCCCGGGUUAAGAAUUAUUCCAAUGAUGCUUUAGAUAUUGCGAUGGUGCAGGAGCAGCUUGGAUGGCCCGCUCAUCUAAGGGAAACCGCUGUGUCUAUGCGUCUCCGUAAGAGAAAAGGUUGGUAGAUCUGCUUAAGGAUGGAACCAAAGCAAAUCUGAGCCCCCAACUCCUUAUUUCUUUGCUGAUCUUCUCUGAAACAGGUUUUCCAAUGCUCUGCAUGAAUACGUGAGUGUUGUAGUGAUGCUUAACCCAAAAGAAAUCAUAUCUCCAACUUGUUAGUUUAAGGGGCUAUUUGGUUGCAGCUUUAAGGCAUGAUUUAAGAGGCUAUUUAGUGAAAUUAUUCGGUGGGGUGUCCGGACUUAGCGCGUAACUCCAAUGAAAUCGCUGCAGCCCGAACUACCCAGCUCAGAGGUGGAGAAAUUAUUGUAUGCGGAAUUCAAAUACAUUUGAAUUCUAAUUACAGCCUGCCACAUCAGCAGAUGCACUUCGGAGCAGUGCAUCCAGUGACAUGGAUUUCGCACACAAUAAUAUCUCCCAGAGCUGUUCGUUGAUCUACGAUUUCGUCUGCUUCGCGUGAGAGGUGGAGUUUCGAACGAGUUGCUAAAUAACUUCCUCCUUGGAUGACAUUUCUUCCUAGUUCGUUAUGCGCUUUAGUGAUCGUAAUGCUUCUCUGCUAUCAUCUUGCAUUGGCACGGAGCAGGUUGUAAGGCCCUUGCAUAUGUUGGCAAUCGCCAUGGUGAAGAAUUAAUGGAUGGAUUGUCUUCCUGAUGGAAUAAAGGUGAAUUUUGGCAGUAGAGGUCUGCUUGCUACUCACACUUUUGAAGUUUGUUGGCGUUGUUUAGUUUAGCAGUUU
Molecule: long non-coding RNA, 1032 nt
Organism: Dendrobium catenatum
Lineage: Eukaryota; Viridiplantae; Streptophyta; Magnoliopsida; Asparagales; Orchidaceae
Exons: 3
Source: RefSeq, a predicted model, not a curated record